This 223-nucleotide long non-coding RNA is filed under the name Meleagris gallopavo (turkey). RNAcentral's name for it is "lncRNA (ENSMGAG00000022857.1)". Lineage: Eukaryota; Metazoa; Chordata; Aves; Galliformes; Phasianidae. The record is from RNAcentral.
UGGUUGGUUCAAUCUCAUCUGGAAGUCUGCUCCUUCACAAGAAAAAAAAGACCAUGGCCUUGAGAUCUCACUGUUAUCCUAAGAUUAGCUGCAUUUCUCAAGAGGUCUAAUGUCAUAUUUUGCCACCUGUGCUCAUUCUUCAGACGUAUUUUAAAAGCUGAACCCUACUCCUCAGUUAAGCCUUCUUAUAUAUUGCAAACAAAAGCCAGCCCAUUAGAAAAUA